CUUGAGUUUGAUCCUGGCUCAGAUUGAACGCUGGCGGCAGGCUUAACACAUGCAAGUCGAGCGGUAACAGGAGAAGCUUGCUUCUCGCUGACGAGCGGCGGACGGGUGAGUAAUACUUAGGAAUCUACCUAGUAGUGGGGGAUAGCUCGGGGAAACUCGAAUUAAUACCGCAUACGACCUACGGGAGAAAGGGGGCAACUUGUUGCUCUCGCUAUUAGAUGAGCCUAAGUCGGAUUAGCUAGAUGGUGGGGUAAAGGCCUACCAUGGCGACGAUCUGUAGCUGGUCUGAGAGGAUGAUCAGCCACACCGGGACUGAGACACGGCCCGGACUCCUACGGGAGGCAGCAGUGGGGAAUAUUGGACAAUGGGGGCAACCCUGAUCCAGCCAUGCCGCGUGUGUGAAGAAGGCCUUUUGGUUGUAAAGCACUUUAAGCAGUGAAGAAGACUCCAUGGUUAAUACCCAUGGACGAUGACAUUAGCUGCAGAAUAAGCACCGGCUAACUCUGUGCCAGC
Molecule: ribosomal RNA, 513 nt
Filed under: uncultured bacterium
Lineage: Bacteria
Description: bacterial SSU rRNA
Rfam family: Bacterial small subunit ribosomal RNA
Source: RNAcentral